AGACCCAGCUCCGGGAAAUGAGUAGGGCCAAUGAGUCUGGUAACUCGUUGGCUCUUUAGAUUUUUCUCUUGCUCUCUCCUUCGCUAAUUUCAGCGCAGCAGGGACACCUACCCCAUCCCGGAGACUUGUAGCAGUUUGCUGGUCCUCUCUAGGAUCUGUUAGGAUAUGGAUAGCCACUGGGAGGGGACUGUUCACCGCAACCUGCACGGUUACAAAAGCGCUCUGCCCGGGGACCUACGAGUACGGUCUAACAUCGUCGUGCAGAGCUACACUCGUGUCCCCUUUCGUCUAAAUAAAGAAACGCGAGAGAGCAAACCACUCGCUCAAAUUCUCGCGGGCCCUCAACAGCAGGAGAAGGGAUGCGAACCCAGACUCCUGUCUCAGAUCCAGCUCUCCAUCACCCGCCGCGCAGCUCACACUUUCUGCCAGGGUCCCGCCUCCCCAUCCAAGCCGGGCCAGGGUUAUCUGCGCGCCCCUGGGAGGAGUGUGCCUCGGCCGGCCGCUAAUCGCCCCCGGCCCCCGCCUUCGCCUUGGUUUCCCUGCCGGAGUCGCCCGGGCCUCCCUCGCUUGAUCCGGCUCCCGGAGCAGGCCGGGCCAGCGAUUGGCCGGCGGUAAUUACGGGCACGCUCCAGGAGGGGGGCUGGGCGGGGGCAGCCGC
RNAcentral lists this long non-coding RNA (658 nucleotides) under Rattus norvegicus (Norway rat). RNAcentral describes it as "long non-coding RNA NONRATT012256". The record is from RNAcentral. Lineage: Eukaryota; Metazoa; Chordata; Mammalia; Rodentia; Muridae.